Molecule: ribosomal RNA, 206 nt
Filed under: uncultured bacterium
Lineage: Bacteria
Description: partial 16S ribosomal RNA
Rfam family: Bacterial small subunit ribosomal RNA
Source: RNAcentral
UGCGUAGGCGGGUUUCUAAGUCAGAGGUGAAAGCCUGGAGCUCAACUCCAGAACUGCCUUUGAUACUGGAAGUCUUGAGUUCGGGAGAGGUAAGUGGAACUGCGAGUGUAGAGGUGAAAUUCGUAGAUAUUCGCAAGAACACCAGUGGCGAAGGCGGCUCACUGGGCCAUUACUGACGCUGAGGCACGAAAGCGUGGGAGCAAACA